RNAcentral lists this ribosomal RNA (200 nucleotides) under uncultured bacterium. RNAcentral's name for it is "partial 16S ribosomal RNA". It matches the Rfam family "Bacterial small subunit ribosomal RNA", at positions 8 to 221 of the family's 1533-position model. The record is from RNAcentral.
AGAGUUUGAUCCUGGCUCAGGACGAACGCUGGCGGCGUGCUUAACACAUGCAAGUCGAACGAGGUAGCAAUACCUAGUGGCGGACGGGUGAGUAACACGUAGGUAACCUGCCUUCUAGUGGGGGAUACCCAUCCGAAAGGAUGGCUAAUACCGCAUAAGCUCUAACUCUGAGAUGGGUUAGAGGAAAGAUUUAUUGCUAG